AUUGCGGGUGUUUCCAUAAAAGCUUGGGAUAGCCCCAUUAAGGAGGAUGGCCUGAAAGAAGACCAAGAAGUGUUUAAAAUUAUACUGAGCACACCUAAAAACAUUGUCCUGGCGCAGACGAGUGAAGUCACUGCAGAAACAAGGGAGGUACAGACAGGUAAGAUUAAUGGAUGUAGGCCUUUCGGGAGCACCUCCUCCAAGCAGAGGGUUGAGUUGUGCAAGGGGACAGCAUCGCUUUUGGGAUGUAUCCUGUGUCAUACUCCCAGUAAGAUGCCAAGCCCCUGGCAGAAUAUAUCAAAAUGUCAGAGAGUGCUGCAGUGCUGAGCUCAUGCUAUGUAAAUGAUAGUGUGAUGAAUUGUGUGCCGUACACACUACACACAAAUCCUGUCCCAAGCAGCCCUGGAAGAGGAGAUAGUACUCCUGCCGGUGUGUCCUCUGCUCCAGGAACCUUGCCAGGAGGACAUGCUGUAAUUCAUGCUUUGCUGAUGCUUUAUAAAAGUUGCAGCCUGUACCUGGGCUGCUGCGCUGCUGACCCCAGUAUCCACAUCACCCCCAGCCCCUUGGAGCCCGGUGACUGACCGCAUCCCCCCGACCUGUCCUGGGAAACCUAAUGUUAGCCCUCUGGCUCGCACAGGCAGUGCUGCCUUGCCUGGGCUCAAUGCCACGUCACGCAAAAGGUCAGGGCUCUCCCUGCUUUGCAGGCUACACCCAGAGCUGGCUUGACCCCCACUUUGCCCUCCUGACUGCAGAAGCCUACAGCCUGACCCAAAAAACAAGGUGGUAAUUCAGUCCUCAUCUGAAGAACCCCUACAAUCUCUGCUGAGUAACAGCUACUGAAAGCAAGGGAUUAUCAGCACUUAAUUUAACCCAGCUCAGGACUCGCCAUAAAGCUGUAAUGUAGCACGUUCAGUAAGCCAGUGCCUGGGAAACAGGAGGUUUCCCAGAGGGAAGGAGCAGACUUACACUAUGGAACAAUUGGAGAACUUCAACUAAAAUACUUCUGAAACAUUGUGGGGAGAUGGCAGAAGUGUGGGGCAGAAUGGUGAGAAAGAGUCUGACUCUAGAAAGAGUGUUUUCUUCUACUCUUUAUCCCUUUUUUCAUGCCGCGCUGUAAGCUUGGCCAGAGGAGAACCCCCCCGUGCAAACCCCGUCCUCCAAGCAGAGCAAAGCAAAGUGCAACACGGGCGUGGAGGGGCUGGGUGGGUAAGCAGUGCCAAGCACAGCUGGGCAGGUGGGUGAACAGGGCAGCACACCCAAAGGUGACCGCCUGCCUUUUUUUGGAGGCUUCUGCCUUUUCAGAGGUGUGUUGGGGAGCUAAAUAUGUCUAAUUUCCUGCUGCCACAGACAAGGCUGAGUGCUGGCCCAAAUGUGGGUCAAGAGUGACACCCUGUGGACAAGUUACUCUUUUUUUGUAAGUCCUCCAGGAUUUCUCUCCUCCUGUUUUUCUUUUUUGGUUGGUUGGUUGGUUUUUCUUGUAUUUGGCUUUAUCCCUUCCACUCCUCCCCUCUUUGCAUGCACAACCCUCCUCAAACCCCCAGCCUGCGUGGGGGUUGCUGCUGCAAGUCUGGUAGUGCACAGGGACCAGCGUUUCUCACCCCUUAAAAUUUAUAGGCUGAGGAGAGGGCACCCAAAUCCACUCCCUCUUUUGUUCCUUUUUUUGUUCCAUUUUUAUACUUGGUUUCAUCCGUGCAGUGCAGUGAAGGGGCGGCUGCUCCCGGCCACGAAUCCAAUGUCGCUCCCCUUCUCAGCUCCCCCCAGCUCCUCUGCUGCGCGGGUCAUCAGCUGGAGCCGGCUGUGCUCCCAGGGCUCAUAAAUCUACCAGCUCCUUGCAAAAUUUGGCAAGUAUGAACCAAGGCUGCCUGAUAAACUGAGAGAGAAAUGGUGUGGGCUUCCCCGCAGUCACCCCCACGCCCUCCCUGUGCUGUGCAGCUCCCUGAGCCAUUCCUGGGGAAGCUGAUUGCUGCCCAAACAGGAAAACUCCUCAAGAAAAGAGUAUUAGAAGGACUGCUACUCUUCUAGUCACUGUGGUGGUCUCUUCCCAGUCUUGGACCUGUACAGGUUGCACCAUGCUGUCCUGAUGCUCUUGGUGGUAUCCCCAAGGAGCAAAAUCUGAUGUCCCAGAACAGGCCGAUUGACACCAGCCGACAACCUGGAGAGGGCAAGACUCUAUUUUAGGCAACAAAUAAUUCAGUUUUAUAUUGGUGAGAAAUUCUUCAUCACCACUUUAAUUAUGCGGAUCUGAAAGAGACCAUAACAUUUUGGCAAGCUCAGUGCUGGGCGUGGGAAAGAGGGGAGGUGUCAAAAUCCUUCCAAGAGUUGAUGUCCUUUCUUACCCCCAGCAGUUUAACCCUGCAAAGUCUGCAUAGACAUGUAUAUAUAUAUAUGCGCACACAGAUCUAUGCAAAAGCAGACACUGGAUGGAGAUUCCUUAUUAGCCUCAGAAAUAGCAAAUGUACAGGCAGUAUUUUUUCCAAUGACACAGAUAUGCCACCAUUAACUCUGCUUUAGCUGGUAUAGUUUAGGGCUUUCAGAAAAUGUAACUUCAUCUGCACCAACUACUGUAUGUUUUUGCUGAGUGGAGCUGCAGGUUUUGCCUGGACAGCCUACACAUGCUCUCUGCCUUUUCCAUUGUAUGCCAAAUCCUGAAGAGGAAGGGGUGUCCUAGAGGAAAAAGUCAUUUUUUUAGGCCUUUAUGCCAUUUCCAGCAGCCUAGGCCCCAGCGUGCAUCCUUCUCAGAUGAAAAAGAGAUCAGGUCUCUUGGUCCAGCACUGGGACACUGUAGAACAAGAUUCAGGCAAAAAACAUUGAAGGAGUGUGUAUUUUUCUGACCAUACUCGUAACCUACCACAUGUUGUACUCUAGCCCUUAAAAUGAAGAAGUUGCACUUGAGCAAGCAUCAGAACUGCUCAAAAGGCAUCAGAAAAAAAAAAAAAAAAAAUAGUUGAAAAACUUCAAAAAAUCUGCAUCAUCCUGGGAGCUUCCUAGUAAACAUCAGAAGUGGGAAGAUCCACCAGGGAAAUAGUGUGGGGCAAGGAGCUGCUGGUUGGCUCUGUUGACUUUAUCGAGUAAACAACAAGGGUUGUGGCAAUGCUGCUGGGUUGUGGGAAAUGGGGUUUAGAGACCCCAACGUGAACACAGGAAGCUGUGUACCAUCUCCAAGAUGUGGCAAAGCCGAAUAUUUUCCUCUGCUCUUUUAAGAACCAAGGCCACAUCUUGGUGGGAAACACUUAAUCCCAAAUCCUGCCUUUUCUGUUCAGAUUAGGCCACUAUGCCUGCAGAAAGGUGGCUUCUUGCGUCCCUUUUGGUUUUAUUGCACGAUGGGAUGAUACAGCUGUGCUCAUGGAGCCAGGUGAUAUAGUUCACUCCAGAGGUGGCUGCAAUUCACAAGAAAUUAUUGCUCAUCAUCUUCAUCAUUGUAUUGGGUGGUCUUGCUAAAAUGUGCAGCCUCAAGUCCGCCUUGGGGGUAUCUGUGCAACAGCCCAGCUACAACAGCUAUUGGCAGAGUUAGAAACAGGGUCAGGCCAUAAUGGUCCGUUUUGGAAUUUAAAUUGGGUCAAUUUGAGGUAAAUAACUACUCUGUGUAGCUUUCAAAGGAUCAUUUACUUUUUGGGAAAGCAGGAAUAUGCUUUUGGAAAGUGUACAGGCAUCUUUCAGGAUGAAGGGCUCCAUCUGCAGCCAUCAAGUUUUUACCUUUUAAUUAACAAACGUUUAUAAAGAAUUUCAAUUCAGAAUUACUAAACAAAGAAACCGUACAAGCCCCAGAUGAGAUCUAAACAGUUUCCAAAAGACAUUAAGAAAGAGAAAAAUACUGGGCCACGUGUUUUUUCUUAUGCCUCUUGAGUCCAUUUAUUCCAGACAUCUGACAGGCAAUUCAGAUUUCCAAUAGUUUUAGGUAACCAUGUCCAAUUUAGAAACCACAGCCUUCAGCUAAGACUACCUACCUCCUGAAUCAGUCUGGAAAACCAGAGCACAUGCUGAUACUCUGCAUUUUCAGAUUUGGAGAGCUUUGUUAUGUAUGUGCCAUAUAUACUUGGGUUGAAUUUUCUGGCUCCAUGCAAACCAUUUAGAUAUAUUUCAUAGACCUGUAGUCAGUGGUCAGAGUCAGAUAAAUUAUAGUGCCUAAUAGAGAGCCUGUUUGUGCUUUCAAAGAGUAAAACCGCUAUAAAAUUGAUCUCCUCUUUUGAGAUGCCUUUGACGGCGGUUGUCGUAUGGCAUUUCGUAUGAGAUGGAAGCAAAGGGGCUCCCUGUGGAUGAAGAACUAAUGAGCUUUAUUUCUGCUUCUUAGACUUGGGCUGAUUUUUAAACCUUUCUGAUACCUGAGUGUUUGUAUCUCAAAACCAGAGAUUAAAUGGGGUCUUCAUGAUGAGCAAAGCCAAACCACAGUGGAAAUGCUGAGUUCAGGUACGGGCAAAUAAUGUCCUGCUAUGUGCCCUUUCCUAAUUCCCUGCAGAAACAUCCUUGCUGAGGAUUCAGUGACAUCUGGAAGGAGGCAUGUCAGGCAGGAGAUGCAUUAGGUACUGGUUUACACGCCACCCUUCUCACCUUACUCCCUAAAACCUGCGUCAGACCCCAGUGCCCCGGUCGAACACACGGUGCCAUUCCAGCAGAGGAUGGCAUCACACGUCCUCUCUUCCAGGGCCCCAAGGAAAUUCUAGAUGAUCAGGUGUUACUUCCAAGAAAGCUUGGCUGAACAAAAAUUGCAGAGCAGAUUCUUUGCUGCUAAACUGCAAAGUCAGAAGAGACUUUGUCAGCCUUCAGCAGUGAAUCCUGUUCGGCUGUCUGACUAAUACUAAGGAGAGCCCAGAGCCAUGGCCUGCAACUAGCAUCAAGACAGCAGAUGGAGAGUCCCUGCUUGCUCACACCACACCACUGCCACAGGUGCAGCCUUCCUUAGAGAGCUUUGGCCGUGAAAAAUGCACACAUUCUGUUGCAAAACAGCAGAAAGCAGGAUUUAUUGAAACUGGUCACAAAGGCUCUGGAGUACUGGGCAGCCCAUGACCUGUCUGAGGAGGGAAAAGCAGCUCAGCUCAGGCAGGUUGCACACACAUCAGGAGCGGCGGCAUCUUCGAUGCAGAUGUACAGCGACGGAUCCUGGUGUGAACAUGCCAGCAUCCCUAAGAAACAACUUCCCAGGCAUGUAAAUGUUUGCUUUGUCCCAAAGAUAAUUAAUGAACGAAGCACCUUUUAGCAACUGUACUUUUUGCUGGCAGAAAUCCAUCUUUUGGCCGAUCCCGCAGCGGCAAUGCAGCCCGAGCCGGUGGCCAGAGCUGGAGCCAGGCUGGCAGGCGUUAGCCCCGCCACGGCUGCUGCCUGCAGGCAAAAAUAAGGCUGGCGAAGAUGUGUGUUGAGAACAAAAAGGCAGGCAGGCCCCGGGGUGCAGUAUUACAGGGAUGAAUGCCUAAAGCACAUCGGGGACUCCACGCCUUGCUGCGCUCUCAACGCUGGCAGCCGAGAGCAGGAGCAGGAGUGAAACCCAGCGUCUCGUAAAGCAGCAUAUGGAUAGAGCGCAAAUGGAUGGGGUUUUAUGUCCUGUGCAAUAUUUUCGUUGAUACUUAUUUUGAUUUAAUUUGGCUAAUGUGCAGGAAAGAUGAAAACGCGCCGUGCUUCUCAACAUCUGAUGGGGAGCCGAAUGUUUUUUAAAAUUAGUAUUCCCACAUAGGCGGCGAUCUUUAAGGUCUGCCCAGCAACUGUGCUGGAAAAUCAUGAGUCACUCCAUGUAAAUCACGGGAUGACCCUCGAAGCAGCAGAUUUUUUUUAAAAACAUUGAGUUGUUUAUCGUAGCAUUACAGUUUCUAGUCUUCCUGUUGAAGCGUUUUGUCCAUAACUUAAUUUUUCCUUUUAAUGAAAGUAGAGUUUGCCAUAACCUGAAACCACUUCAAAGAGACAGAGUUUGAAACAUAAUUUAAUACCAUGUAAUGAGAUUCAGGAUAAAAUGGUGACGGCUGGUGAUGCUCCCUAUCCCUGCUUUGAGAGAAGAGAGGCUGAAGCGGAGCCAGGGAGCACGGGAGCAAUGGUCAUGAAAAACAGCGUGAGGUUGGAGACCAGGGUGCAAAUCUCCACCAAAGACUUCCAGGGGGAACUUGAGCAAGUGACCUAAAUCUUCCUCUCUUGUAGCUGCUGUCUGAAAUAAGGGAUAAAAAGAGUCUAUUUCCUCCACAGGGAUCCAUAGGAAUAAAUACUUUAAAACUGGUGAGGGGCAGCAGCCAUGGCAGGGCCAUGCACAGGCUGGGGAGGAACAAAAAAUAAUUCCCCAAAGAUGUUCUUGGCAGAUAAAUCCUCUGCCUUCCCACCGAAGCAGUGCUCCCAAAGCUUUGUAGCUCACAAAUUUGGGGGGAAUAAAUUUGUGAGAAGAGGUUGGGGUGGGUAAGGUGAGUACCCAGGGCAUCCUCCCCAAGCCCCCUCUUCGCUCCGCGGGGCGUCCCCCCAGGGCUGCCUCCUGCUGCAAAACUGGGAUUUUAAUGUCUCCGUUCUCUCGCCUGUUAAUAAAGGAACAAAAAGCGCAUUUGCCUUCUCAAGGGUGUUGUGAGACAAAGUUGGUAAGUGUUGAAAAGAAACCCAAACUGGAGGAGAAAGCUGGCUUUGUUCCUUGGGACACAGCCCACCGCAGACCUCACUCUAAUUUUACUGUAGCAUCUCCUGAAUGAAAACGUGUCCUCCCAAAAAAACCCAUCAAACAUGUCCCGACUUGAAACGGCUGCCAGGGUGGUGAAAGGAGCUGCAGAUUACAGAUCCUCGGGGCUCUUGGGGCAGCAAAAUGUUUGUUCCAUGGAUUUGGGCUAGAUCCAAUUAAUCCAAAAAGGGCUCAGAGCGACUGUUUAACCUAUCCUGUGGGGUUGGGGAGAAAUAUGUAACGAACCAAAAAGGCAAAACAAGAAACAACAGCAAGAAAACCUCUUUAUAUUAAAAUUAAAAUUAAAAUAUUAUCCAGACACUGCUCAGGAAAAAGAAAAUUCAGAAGGCCAAAGAAAUUCAAAGGCUAAACCUCAGCCUCCAUCUUAAACUGAAUUGGAAAGAAAAAGCAAGAAAAUUAAAUUUAAUUAGUCAGACCCUGUAAAUUGGUAAACAGGGCUUGGGGCUUAAAAAAGGAAGGAGCCCUCCACGGGCAACUGCAGCACCAGACUUGGUGAGGGCACCUUAAGGUAUCAUACAAAAAUAUAAGAUGUUAUCUAAAAGAUAACCAAUCCUGUAUUUGUUCUACCCUUUAUCUCACUGCGAUCUACAAAAGUAAAAGCUUUAUUUGGAUUUUUAAACAUUUUUAUUGAUAUCACAAUGCAUGUUUCAUCAUUACAGCGUCUGGAGGAAAUGAUUUUUUAAUAGGAAUAAUUUUUUUUAAACCUGUUCUAAUCUAGAGGAAAUCUGAGAACACUAAAAAAAUUCCUUUAAACGAAGGCUAGGACAAAAAUUAUCACAAAAGAAAGCAGAAUAAAGAGUGUACCAACAGUCUGAUAUAACUGAAGAAUUAAUUACCAAAAAUCAUGAAAGAAAUCGCAGCUUUAAGCGAAUGGUGGUUUUAUGCUGUAUUCCGGGCAAGCAAAUUUAUUAGCCACUGUCUGAGAUGGUAAGAGGAUGCAGAGAAAAUGCUGCAACUGCUUGGUGGUUUCCAGGUGCGUAUUAUACAUAUAAAGACAGAGGUUCUGUCCUUAGUAAAAAAACAAACAAACAAACAAAACAAAACAAAACAAAACCAAAAACAAAACAAAAAAAAACCUUUCUUCUUUGGGAUCUUUGGGUUUCUUGUUUAAUUCCUAGCCUCAGAAAACAUAACUUUUUUUUUUUCCUUCUAAUGAUUUGUCCAUUCUUGGCUUUCAGCUACAAAGUCAGUUUCCUUAGGCUUGUACUAAUUUGAUGUGCAUCCAUCUUCAUUCAAGUUGAUCCAUUGAACUCUUGGCAGCACAUCGAUAGCAAACGGGAGCGCAGUGCCGUUCAUUGAACUCCGCCGUACCAGCAAAACCAGGGACAAGACAGAAAGCCUGGGGUCAUCUCCUGGAAUUGGUUCCUGGACUGCAGCUCAGACUUUAAAUCAGUUUCAAAUCCUGACCGACAGAAUGGAUUGUUGGAUAUAAUAUUCUGCUUUCAAGUGGGGAAUUCAGCUUAUUCUACAAAGAAGAAUAAAGCGUUGCUACCAUUAUCAAGGUGAUGUGCUCCUGAAACUUGUCGCUUCUAUCCACAAUGUGUAGACUUAGCCACAACUGCAAACUCUUCAAGGUAAGGACUCUCCAUUUGAAAAGGAAGAGCUGUCACCCUCAUUUUAUAGUGAGCUGGGAAGAAAGAUACUAAAUGAUUUGUCCAAGGGCAUGGCAGGGAGAUUGUGACUGGUGGAAUUAAACCCAGAUUUUUCAGAUCACAGCAAAGUGCCUUAACCACAAAACCUUUCUGCCUCUCUGUGGAUCAGCCACUGUAACUUGGGCUUUUGGGCUGGGUUUUCAAACAUGUUUGUCAUCUUCCAGGGAUUAAGUUAAAUUUUGUUUAAUUUUCCACAUUUAUGGAAAACAUCACCCAGUUUAUACUUCCCCUCUACAGAUAAUGCUGCCUGACUUUACCUGCUCCCCACCAAGGAAACAUAGGUGGAACCACCUGCAAGAGGAGGUACAGGGAGCUGCCACCACCAUGUCUGUCCCUUUCACUUUUCAGCCAAAUAGGGAGAAACUUUUUUUUCAGAGACUCUGCUCUGCAGAGAUGUCAUGCAACCUUCAGCCCCUUUUCUUCUCUUCUAAUUUACAUCCAGUGCCUCCUCGUGCUUGUCCCCAAGAGCUGCCUACUUGCUGCUAAAAGGCUGUGGAGUAAAAGGGUUCAUUUCCAGACAUUGCAGGUGACAGAGAUACCAAAUUGUUUACAGUGCAAUAAAAUGAUCCAGUGCCUCAUUUCAAGGGCAGUUUUGCCAAGGCUUUGCAUGUGUACAGGGGUCUCUCCAACACUGCCUUAUUUUUUAACAGAUAAAUUCCAGCUAGACAACUUCUCUUUUAAAACAUCCUGUACAAUGGUUUUAUCUUCUCCCUUUGCAGCUGGUGAUCCACUCCAUUAUUAACACCUACCAGUAAAAGCCCUGCAGAUGGAGGAGAAAGGGACUGACCUCUUGGGUGAUGCUGCAGAACAUCUUGUCAUUAACUCCCAGUUAUUUGUCGCAGUCUUGCUUCCUGGUGAUCACAGCAUCAUUGCCCUUACCAGGCUCAUUAGCAGCAGGACCUGCACUAAUCUGCAUUGUCCCCUCCUGCAUCUGCCAGUGCUGCCGUCUCCUUGCACGCACAGUCCUGAGCACGGGGCUUCUGGUGGCACUUAGUGGGAUCUUCUGUUUCUGGGCUGAAACAGCUGAUGAGGAAGAAGGAACCAGCUCUGUUCAUCUGCCUGUCAUUUUGUUAACAGGCCUUGGACCUACCUUUAUUUUCUUCCUGCUCUGAUCUCUUCAAGGAAAUUGAAGAUCAUCAUGGGUAAUACCAGGAACACUUUUAUCAGGCUUCCCAGAGCGCCCUGUGAGAGUUGACUGCAUGUGAGGGACUGAAGCACAUAGAAAUUAGGGAUGAAAUUUUUCAAUCCUACCAAAGGGAUUUGGAUGCCCACCAUCCGUUAAAAUGAGUAACAAUUCCUGUCCUGCCCUAAAUGGCCAGAGCCCAAAUUGCUGCACAAGAAGGAAACCAUCUUGGUUAAUGCAUGGACACUUAAGCCCUCAGCAUCUGACUUCACUUAGAUUUUAUUUCCAGCAAACUUAGUUGCUCAUGUCCAAUGAAACACUUGUACACCCCCCGCACCCAUUACCCGCUCCCUGGCAGCUCAUCGGGCCGUCUCUUGCCAGCUCCACUAUCAGAGGAAGGUGAUGAAGGUAGCUAAUUUGUUUGCAAGUUGGUGAAUGAUGUAAAAGGUUCCUCGUCCAUCAUCAUAAAGGCUCACAAAAAAAAUGCAGACAAAUGGUCCUUCCUCUCAUUCUGCCUGUGCUACACAGGGACAUUUGAAACUGAGGGAAAGUUCAGCGUAGCCAUAUGUACAGAGUGAUGCACACAAAUCACAGCUGCUGCUAAUUGGAUCCAGAAAUCUAAUUGGUCCCUCCUGGUUGGCUGGUGUUACAUAUAGGGCCAUCAUGACAGUAAUGUGGGGUCUGUGGAGGCUUGGUCUGCUCGGUUUGGCAAUCCGGUGGCCCAGGCUGUGCUGAGGUGCUGCUCCCUGGAGCUGGGGGUACAGACAUGUCCCCAGCAGCUCGGGCUUCUUUUGCUUUCCUUGACCUGCAAAGGGGGCUGAGCUGCUCUGAGCAUUUGCCAUGGUGUGACAUGGGCGUGUAGGGCCCUACCAAAUUCAAGGGGGAGAAGAGGAUAUAAAAUAGCAUAGAAUGAUGUAAAAUAAUGUUAAAUAGUAUAAAAUAUCUCCAGGUGGUUGCUCCAAUUAAUGCCUCAUCCAGAAAACAGCCCUAGACCAAAGUAAUGAGACACACCACUUAAAUUGCCAGAAAUAUAGGUUUUUUCCCACAUUUCCUUCCUACCCAAAGUGAAGUGCAACCUGCUUGUCUAUGCUAAAGAAUGUUAAUGGUUUUUAACCUGUUUUAGGACAUGUGUGAACAGAACCAGCCACUUUGGAUUUGAAUGCUACCAAGCUGCACAGAGCCAAAAGGCCUGGCAGCUUCACCCAGAGCCAUGCCUUGUGCUGCAGGAGCUGGGGGCGGAGCAGAGACCCAGAGAAGAAACAGGUUUCUGCUUACACAAAGCCUUUUCUGGCUGGGGAAGCAGCGUGUGAACGUGAAGUGUCCCAUCCCACUAUGGAGGAUGAGCUGCAGAAAUGGUCAUUGGGCUGAAGGUCUCAACUCCAAGCACAUCAGCAGCAGCUCUCCAGUCCAGCCUACUCUGUUGCUCUGGUCAAAAUUUCCCUGUUACAGUUUCAUCUCGCUGGAAAUGGAGUAAGUCUUUGCGGGAGGCUGUGUGUGUGCUCCUGGUUUUCCUCAGCAAGACAAGGAGAAUGUUGAAACUCGGCUGGCGGAUGGGAAAGUGCCCCCUUCCAAUACAAGCCAGAGCCGUGGAACCCCUCCAGGUCUCAAAAGCCCUCAUCAGCCCAAUCAGGACUUUGAUGAUGAAAAGCAGAAUAAAGGCAAACAGGAAGAAAGCGAGUUUAAACAUGCCCAAACAAGAAACAGCAGAUUGUGAGAAAGGGAAUUGGGCAGCUAGGGGCAGCCCCAGCUAUUUGAGCUGCCCUGGAAAAAGCCAAGAAACCGUGGAAAAUGCUACAUUAUGGUGAACAGCAUGGAAGUCCCUGAGUCUCUCCUUAGAAAUGUGCAUAUGACCAUGAGCACUACAGACAAGGGCUGACGAUGUGUAACUCAGUGAGGAAUUUUGAUGGUAUGAAGUCCUAGUGAAGCCUGUACUUUGCUCAGCUUUGCAGCUUUCUGAUGAUAACCAUUCCAUUUUCCUGGGAAAAAGUCCCACUGAAGACGUUGUCUGUUGGCUUUCCACUUCACAACUCCAGGACACAUCAGUUCUACUGUCCCAUCCCUGUCCCUGCUGGAUCUUCUCCAUACCCCCUGUUUAUAGCCAGUUGGAGCAAAAUACAUGGUCCUGUCCCCCUCACCCCCCCUCACCCUCCUAAAACCUCAAAUAGGGCUUUUCUUCACUUCUGGAAGUGAAGAAAAGAAGUGAAGAGAAAGCCAUGGACUUUGCCAUGCUUCCCCCCAACCCAAGGAACAUCAGGAACAAAGCCCUGCAGAGGUCAUUUGGGCAGGCUGCUGAGUGGGACAUCGCUGCCACAUGCGGGAUCUGCUCCUAGGGCAGAGCAGAGGCUGUUUCAGUAAGAGGGAUCUGUGGGUGCAGGGAGGACAACCAGCAGUGGGACCUGGAGAAGAAGGAGUAGUGUUUGGCACACUGCACCUUUGGAGGUAGAUAACCCGUGUUAUUGUCAGGCAUUUUAAAGCAUUCUUAAGAGGCAGUUCCCAGGUUACAUUUCACUCCACCAUGGAGCGAGUUUAGAAACAAGUGAGAAAUUUGUUAAUUUGGAUCUUGCUGAAAUGAAUGGCUUCCUUUGUACCAGUUGCCUCUCAGAAAUGUUGAAAUUUAAUUAAUCCCUUGCUGGAAAUAAUGUACAGUAUUAGUUCUAAUCUCUAAUGUAGGAUUUCAUUGCUAAUGCUCAGCAUAAAGAAUGAGGCUUGGUAAACGUACGGCUGGAAACAUGACUGUGUCCCCACCAGCCCAGUGCAAGCAGCUCUGCCGUCUGCCAACCAGCCUCGGCACAAUUGCUGCUUGGGUAGAGGAAAUAAUUCCUCCUGGUUGUAUUUGGAGCUGUAUUUCCGCGGCGCAACAGUGUGACUCUCGCAUUCCCUGUUCUCCACUUUGCCCUGGCCCCAUCUACUCUACAUCUGCAUCUCCUGGAAACCACUUUCCUUCCUCACCCUUUCCCUAGGCUAUAUAGAAAAGACUAAUCCCAAAGUUAGUGGUGUCAGAGAGCUGCCAUGGACUUUAGGAGGCUGCAAGGACCUUAGUUGCUCUCUUUAGGGUGGAUCUUUAAUAGGUGAAUAAAAAAACUAAGGAGAACAGCAAAGGCUCAUCCUUGGGACACUCCAAAUUCUGUAAGUGAGCCUGCGUGUGAUUUCCUUCCUCCAGGAGGAUGCAAAAUGUGAGGAGUUGGGACAGGUUGGUGCUUGUCGGUGUCCUUUGAUGGGGCUUAUCUUCAUUUGCAUUUUUGUAGGUGAGAUGUGAAACACUGGUUGAGUUUUGAAUGAAAACUACAGCAGUUUCAGUGGAGAAUAUUGAGACGUGCUCUGAGUUGUCACGCACAGAAUCCAACUGGAGAGGAUCAAAGGAAAAAGGUCUAUUUUUGGUUUUACAUCUACUAAUUACUCUGAACAAAUGAGCAAUGCAUCUGAGAAGUAAUCUUUUUUCAGGUUUCCAUCUGGUAAAUUCUUGUAGGUGCUGUAACUUCAGAAUAAUUUCAAGCCUGUACUUUUCACUAAACACUCUGAAGUCAACCAGUGAGUGGAAGAACACAGAUUGGCUUUUGUGUCACUCUUGUCCAUUCAGAAAACUGCUAAAGCAACACGUCUUGGGGCUGUGAACACCUACACCCGGUGAUUCUGGAUGCGGCGAGUUUUGUCGUUGAUGCAGAAUCCCCUCUGCAUAGCUUUCAUAAGGAAAAAUGUUUCAGGGGAUCAGUCCUCUGUUCCUCGUUUAUCUUCAGCUGUACUGGUAGGUGACCUUCCUCUGCAUGCCUGAGCUCACGUUGGGAGGAGGUUUGUCCUGGCAUGCUGAGGUCAGACGUGCCCUUCCAUGUGGUAACACCGGAGCUGGCUACGUAAAGGAGGGUUGUGGGGAGGUGGGGAAGCAGGAAGGAGUCAGAAUUACACACUGGAUUUACUGUUAUCUGAGUCCUACAUGAGGGGAAGAGUCUUGCUAUGACAUACUCAAGGAGCGCAACAACAUUUAAAGACUACAUAUCUCUACUACUCAUCAAUGACAGAUGAAUUAGUACAGAUUUGCAGGUUGUUUCCUUGGGAGGCCGGUGGUGAUUCUGGGGUGAAUUUCCCAGCUUUCUGUGAAACUGAGGUUUCACAUCAUUCAUGAGCGAAUUCCACACACUGAAUUGUAGUGUCAUGGACCUGUGGAAAGGAGUGGGAGCAGCAAGGGAGACUUCAGAGCUGUUGCUUUUUAGAUACCGGUUAUUGCAGAGUAUUCUGUGCAUCAUUCUGAAUUUGGGCUUGUUUUUGUCUGAAAGCAAUUGGCUGGCAAGAUUGCAGUAAGUGUACCUAGUAGAGCUGUGUUGGGGACGGGGGGGGAAGUUCCUUUUUUUCCAUGAAAAAUUUCGAAUUUAUAACUUAAUACUUGAAAAUUUUAGCUGAAAACUGCAGGAGUCUCCCCCAGUGUGGCUUCUUGUUUUCCAACAAAAAUUAAAUAGCAUGGACGGAAAUACAAAGUUUCUGUUUUCAUUGAGGACAGUUUCAUACCAGGUCAGAUAGCUGGUAGUCCCUAGCCUGGCCUCUCUGCCAGCAACCAGCAUCCCUGCUGCUGGUGGAUCAGUGUUUGCUGGGAGACAGUGGGAGCUUUGCAGAGCUGAGAAAUGGUCUGAGCUUGGCCACAGCUGCUUCUGAGCACAGACAAAGUCACUGCAGUAUUUGAAGUUGCUUUGCCAUGGAUCUCCAGCCGAGGCACUGAUGGAGAUGAGCCACCCAUGGCUGCUAAAAAAUAUAAAUCUGUUACCAGGCUGUGGUCAGUAUUGAUGUCAUUUUUAAUGAGAAGGUGUUUUUAGGUUGAGAAAUAUGGAAAUAUAAACUCCUCAACCCUCUGUUGUUGAAAGAUUUGUUCAGAAGCGGUGAUGGGCUGAUGGUGGCUGAAUUCAGCUGGGGUGGUUUUGCGCUGCGGGUACCUCUGGGAGCUGGGCUCCUCUUGCCUUAAUGAGCCAUUUGCAUUUCCAGGAGGGUUUGGGGCUGGGAACAGGGACAGCACACCAGAAAAGCUCACCCUGAACAACUGCAGGAUUCAGCACAGGGGCCCAAUCCUGUAGAGUGCAGCACACCCCUCUGCCCAGCUGUACUUGCACCCCAAAACACGAGCCAUAUGCAGAGGGGGGACACCAAAGGGACCCCAUGCAGCAACCUCCCACCUCCCGGUGGUGCUACCACCACCUGUGCCUGCUGUCACCAUGGACAAGGCACCUGCGGUGACCUUCAGAGAAAGAACUGCAUUUGCAGGGGAUAAACUGUUCCCUACAUAUCCCGUCUCUGGCCAAAGCCUUGCCUGUUAAAUUAAACCCAUUUUGUUAAGGGGUUUAGAUGCUGCUUGCCCAUAUGCAGAAUUAUGUCUUUAAAGAUUAAAAAAUCCAAUAUAAACAAAAUAAAUCCAGGGAGCUGAAUGCAUGAAUCAUUAUUUUAGUACAUAUUGUCCAUUCUAAUCUGCAGUCCAAUUGUGAAGUCAUUCAAAAUGCUGCUUCUCAGUAAUUAGCAGGAAUCUAACUCAGAGCCAAUUUCUGAUUAAAUGUGCUUAAAAUCAAUAAAACAUCAUGAGUGAUUAGAGUCACGUGUGAUUAGCCCUGUCGAACAAAGCAGAAUAAGUUAUGGCCUCAGUUUAACUUGUCAAAAAACAGAACUGGGGGUGGGAAUGAGGAGGAACAGCUGAUAUUUCUAUAAAGGGUGUUUCUAGUUCUCUGCCUUUCUCUUCACUCCUUUGGAAAAGUGAAAGGAUCAGUUUGUUUUCUGAAAAUUACAGGCUGAAGGGAAAAGUUUGGGGUUGCUUUGGCUUCUCUUGUGGGUUUGUUUAAGGAUAUGCCAGGAACGGCAUUUUUUUAAAUCCAGCGUCUCAGCUGUAGGAGGGUUACCUGCUUCUCCUGGCGUCGCCUUUUCUCCAGCUCAGUCCUGACUGUUUGCAGCAGGAAUGGCACAUGCCUGUAAGGAAUUAUUUUUUUGUUUGCCUUUUUUUUUUUUCUGGAAGGGGCACAAAGAUCACAUCUCCCUCCCUGUGGUUGGAGGGUGCCAUGUCGUGUCAUGUCCCUUGUCAGUAAUAGAAAUAAGAGUGGCAACAACCCGAAAACACAUGUUGAUUGAAAAGCACUAGAAGAUGAAGCUGGCGGGGAGCCAGUUUCUUUUGCAUCACGUGUAUCGGGGCAGCACACAAUAGUCCUGCCCUGGGUCCCCUGGACACACACCACCCCCCUUCUUCUCUUUGGGGUCCAGAGAAAGGUGUUUCUUAUAGAAAGUGGCUUUUUGGGCAAGGUGGUUUUGGCAGCAUCCCUCACCCCAGCAGCUCGGGGCGGAGGUAUGCGGCACCCGGGGGAAGGAGACGGCUGCGAUCUCACAUUGGGCACAUGGGGGCUGUGUGGGGUGGGAGAGCUGCUCCACAGCUUGCCAGCAAAGCUUCCCUUGACGUCAGGCGAUGGAGAACAGCACCCGUUUAUAGUUACAGCUUCUUCACUUACAGCUGUGUGACCACAUCCCCGCCGGCUGGACCGUCAGAGGAAAAUCCAGCUGUAUCGCUCCAUGCCGCCUCCGGAUCCGGCGCUGACACUGGUGCUGCUGGGGCUCCUUCCUUUCUGUUUCGUUAACUGAAGUGAAAAACCCCACAUCCACAGUGUGCACAUGGUGGCGGGUGAAGAGGGGAGAGUUGGAAGGCAUUGUCCCAAGUGCAUUUCUACUGGCAAACUGUGUAUAAUUGUAUUGUUUUGUGGCCUGUUUGAGAGAGCAUUUUUUUAUCCCAAGAGUACAUGCUCAUUUCCUGCUCCCGGCAAGGCUAUGCCCUUCUACUCAGUGAAGCUUGGGAAUUUUUGGCAAAAUCUGAUUUAUUUAUUUUUUCCCCCUUGAGUGUGUAAUCUCUAUGUGUUCCCUGCUGCAGGCAGCAGUUGUACGUGGAGUUGCUUGGGACCACUCGUUCCAUGAGACUUCUCUGUUGCCUGUCCCCUGGGAUGAGAACUUGUCACUCCGUGUCACACCUGAGAGAUGCAGUGAGCCAUUGGGAAAGGCUGUAUUUAACUUGGGCAAAGGACUUGGGCAAACAAGGACCUUCUGCUAAGAGGAGCCCCACUAUGGGCAACCCCACCAUCUCCAAGCACCUUCUGCUAAGAGGAGCCCCACUAUGGGCAACCCCACCAUCUCCAAGCACCAUGUUGAGCUCUGGGUUGGAGUUUCUUCCAAAUGAAAACACAAAGUUCAUUAAAAGGUGUUAUUGAGUCAAAAUUAGCAUUCUAGAGUCAGUGAGGGCAGGUUGUGCAUCACAACAUGACAUUGGUGGGUCAGCACUACCAAGAUGGGAAUGUUCCUUCACACCAAAAGUCAGUGCAUGCCAAAGGGGACAACACAGCUGCUGCACCCUAUAGAAAUAGGUUUUUUCUACUGCCGUUCUUGUAAGCUGCUGUUCUUUAAUGGCAAAAAUAGUGCAGAAACAGAGGAGCAGAUCCUCAGCAGAUAUCCGUGGCGGUAUCUGGGUUGCCCCCAAAUUACACCAGCUGAGCCCCGGGAUCUGCUGUGCUCUGAGAGAUGAAUCACCCUUCACUGACCUCCCGGAUCCAACAGCAUCGUGGGACCAUCUGUGCUCAUCCUCAGUGCCACGGCACGUGUGGGAAGCUUGGCUGCUCAAGGGGGUCAGCAUCAGGACCAGAGGGUGCUGGUCAGCACUCAAAGCACCUCUGGAAAUAAAACCCAGAGCUGAAAGUGGGAAUGACAUAAAUCUGCUAAUUAUUCCUCACCCUGCGCCCCCCAUGCAUAGUUCAGUGACUGACUUGGGGUUUUUUGCUUUUCUCUAAAGCAGCUGGAGAUGGGAUGUUGAACAUGAUGUGUUAUUGCUCCUAGUGGUAUUAAAGAAAAACAUCUCAAGUACUGGUUGGCAUGUUUUGAUUAUAUGUGAAGGUAAAACGAGUGCCAGAUUUGGAGUGGAGAAGAGUUUUUCCUCCAGAUCAGAUUAGCAGGAGUUGUUGGGGAAGUGAAACAGGGCAGCGAGGUGUUGGGGUGCCGGGGGGGGUGGGCACUGAACAUAAUCUCCCUCUUAGAAUUAAUUUGGCAUUUUCACUGAACAAAUGCUACAGAAGACCAGAGCCCUCAAUGGUUUCUUUUCUCUCUUCCUUUGGUGUUACUAUUUGUGGCUUUAUUUAUUUGCACUAAAAGCCUUAAGCUCAUUAUGGCAUUUUUGCGAAGUGUUUUUGUGGCUUGUGUUGAGUGAGUGUGUGCAGAGCAGUUGUUCCCUGGACCCUUUUGGAUUAAUGUUUGUCAUACGAUUGCCUGCAAUUUCAUGACCUCUGUGGCUGAAGUGAGCCCUAUGGGGUUUUUUUAUGUAUGUGCAAUUUAGCUUUUAAUUAAGGCGUUGUUAUCCAGGGAGUUGCAGCUCGGUUGGUUUGCAUGCCCCAAGGUUCUCCUGGCUUGAUACUGGAGUAAGGUAGCCCAUAUUUGGAAAUAUUUAGCUUGUUUCUCCUGUUUCAGUUGUCCAAGCUGUUUGAAUCUUCAGUCUUCUUUUCCAAUGUUUACUGAAGAACAGCAGUUUUUUUUAACACUCCCUUUUAUCACACAGUGUGAUCAGCCGAGCUCAGACAAUGUGUAUUCAUGCUGGGCUCUGUUGCUCAUUUAGCAGUCUACAAACUACUAACGAAGUGCAGAUGCACUGAGGAAGAUCCUCCCUCCAUGGGUGAGCCCCGGGCUGGGCUGCACUGAGGAACUGUGGCAUGCCAUUUGCAGCAAUCGGUUACCGGGAUGGCAGGCCUUAGUGGUAGUACAGGCUGUUAGUAGGACUACUCAUUCCUAAGGUUUUAUGUAUGUUUUAUAUAGGUUUUUAUAAGGCUUUUUAUAUGCCUCUGUCACCCUCGUAGCUUACCAGGUCAGCACAAUUAAUUCAGCUGGGUUUUAUUUUUAUUUCUCUUCCUAUUUGCUUCUACUUUUCUGUGCUAGCAUGGUUCAUCAGGUCCUUGUGUUUAAGCUCUUGAAGUAAAUAUUAUACAUGGACAUAAGGUCUGCAUUUUUGCAGGAAGGCAAGCGGUUUCUGGUGCCGUGGGUUUUGUGUGUUCAGGCUCUGUCACGUGCACAGGAUUGAUUUUCAGAGCUGACUUCAUUUUCAUGCACGAUAUCUCUCGGCUGUCUCUAGGAUACCCAAAGAUUUUGGCAGCUUUGACAGAUACCUGGCUCCAGAUUAACAUCACAUGAUGGAGCAGAGAGGUACCAGACCUUCAUCCUACCCCCUUCAGAUAGAUGUGGUUUCCCCCUCCUCCUGCCCCUUCCCAAAACAGGAAUUUACUUGACAGGAAGUUCCCAAGAUGCCACCGCACUCAACUGUCUUACUCAAGUAACCUAAUGAUUACUACUGCUCACAGGUUUUCACACAUCUGUUUUGGAACACAGGGAGCUCAAGCGGAAUGUUACUGCAGUGGUUUUGGGUGUAAUUCUGGAUAAUCAUAUGCCAUCUCUGUAAGUAAUUAGCAGAGGUGGCUCAAGCAUCAGAAUUUCAGUACCAGGACAAAUGUGGAGAACCAGAAGGUCUUGAGACAAUUUUGAUAAAACACUUUUAUUCAUAAAGUGCACAUUUGUAAAAUCAAGAUCCAGAUCUGAGUUCAGAUUUGGUACGUGUAGAAAGUUCCUUGUAUGUUAGGUGAGCUCCAGUAUCUCCAUCCUGGUCCAGUUUGAACAGCUUAGUGUUUCGUUCUUAGAGAGUGCUUCUUACUGCUGCCUUUGUUUUAAAGCUGUUGAUUUUUGCUUCCAAUUUUUCUAGGCUCAGUGGUGAGAUGUUGAGCGGGUGCUACACUAAUCUAAUAAUCUUCAGAAAUCAUUCUGGGGUGUUUAAUAUUCAUAUGGUGGCCAAACUCUGAGUUCAGUCAGUUGUAAUCAUCACACUGGAGCAUGGUCAAGAUGGGAAGUUUGGCCUGGACCCUAUGGCCAUCUGGCCACGGGGAAACCAGCUGCCUCCUGAGCUAAAAAUGCCCUUCAUCCGUCAUGAUAAAUCUCCUUUUCUACCAACAAACCUUCAUUCUGCAGUUUAGCUCCAUGUGCGUAAAUGACCGUACUCAUCAAAUAGGGUUGUUGAUGGUUGUUCAGUUUUCAUGUGGCCUCUUGGAGAAAACUCACACCAGAUAACCUGGCAAUAAUGGUGGGUAGAUUUGCCAGACCUUGCAAAAAUCCCCCACCAGGUACAUGCACCUUGGUGGCAUCACCUGGGAAGGCAAGUGCCUGUGAAUCAUUUGAGCCAAGGGGUGUAGAAAGGUCAUGAAGGGACAGGAUCCUUCCAAAUGAAAGGCACAUUCAGAGCAUUCUUGAAACUGCCUUCAGUGAAACCGGAGUCAUCUCUCCUGACAUUGACUGCUCCAUUGCUUGCUAAUUGAGGAAAAGAGAUGCUUGUGAUCCAGGAAUUACCUCCUGCUAAGUUCAGAUGCCUCAGGUAGGCAAGAUAAAUCAUGCUUUAGCCAUUCAUUUCUCUCUGUUGAUGCUAAAGGGAAUCUAUACCACUAGCUCCAGUGCAGACAUCAACCCCAGAGACAUGUAACAUCCAUGGAGAUGUGAAUCUCAGCUGGGUUGUCUCUGCCUCUAAGCAUGAAUAUGAGGAAAGAGGAGCCAGGCUGAAGUCAAAGGCAGCAAUUAAACACAUAAAACAGAUGCAAAAUUUUGAAAAAGACAGAAGCUGUGGGAUGGCCCAUAGUCCUGGGAAAACUAAGGGCACCUACGGAAAAACGAGAGCAGCAGAGAAGAAGGCAGCGUUGGACCAGUGCAGGAAGAUGAAAACUUCCUUUCAACACUGAAAGUGACAGUUUCUAGAAUCCACCUUGUCUGUCCCUCCCAAAAUGUAAAUGCUUGUAGUUACCUCUCUGAAAAUCUGAAGCAGUUUUGUGGUAGUAAGUAGCAGAUUCUUGGCUACUGGAGCCUCAGUGUGGCAGAUGGGUUUUUUGGAAAAUAACACUUGCAGAGCCCAGCUGGUAACCACAGCUGAGAUCUCCCAAUCAGGGAUCUUAGAAGUCACCGGCUGUAUCAGCUUUGAUUUCACUGGAAACAGCGGCUGGGCUGCUGGAAAUUACACCCAGGUGUUAGGUGGAGAGGUCAGACUUGGCCAGCGGUUCCCAGAACAAUAACUGAGCCAUUUCAGGCAAUUCCCCGUGUUUGCCACAAGAAACGUCUGUGUUAACUCUGAUAUUGCUGGAACGUUUGACAAAGAAUUUUGCCUUUUUAGGUGGUCUGUUAAAAAAUUUAAUACCUUGGGUUUGGGUGGUAUUUAGGUCUAUUUUGGCUGAGGGUUGGGCACUUUUUUCUGUUGCUGCCCAAGGCACCUGCCUUGCUUUGGGAAGAUAAAUCUGCCACCAGCCUAAACCAAGCCAGAAACUGGUAUUCUUCCCCCCCAGCAGGAAAGGUUGGCAUUUAGAAACAGUUCCCUUCUGAAUCACACUAGAACCUUGGAAUAUUAAAAGUUUUUCUUGAAUAAAAGGAUAGUAGAGUGUUUUCUCUCACAUGUGGCAAAAUGAAAAUCAGUCAACAAUUUCCCUCAAAAAAAUAAACAACGCAGCAUAUGGGGAACUCUGUUGUUGCUGUUUUUGUUGUUGAAAUCUUCAUGCUCCUUGAAAAUUUUGAAGAAGUGUCAUUUUCAGAUGGAGGGGGGGAGUGUGUGGUGUGUUUGACCAGUUGCACUUGCUUCCAGCUCAGAAACAUCAACUGGGAUUUUACUUUAUCUCUGCUGAGGGCUGGAUAUUGUCUUCCCAGCACAAAUGACUUUGUAUUUUUCUUUUUUUUUUCCUUGUACCAGGCCUAGCCGUACCCAGUAUUAAAUUAAGGGACUUCCUGGUAUUUUCAGUGUCACCUGCAAACUGUUUUGUAUUUUAACCUGCCUCGAGAUCAAGAGAAUGCAGCUUUCUUUGUACCAUCUGAUCUGAAUGCUGUUUAACCCUCCUUUUCCAAUAGUUUCUGUGUCCUCAAACUUUGUCUCUAAAACUUACUUUUUGCACCCGUGCCAUAUGCACACCCACCUGGAUGUGUUAUGUGCUAUGUUAUGUUUUAUGCUGUGUUAAGUGCUAUGCACACACACCUAACCAUGAUGUGUUAUAAGUAGAGAUAGCUGUGGAUUUUCCAUCCUGUCAUUUUCCAACAGAAAAACUAGAUUCAAAAACAUCAGAUUUUGCCAUUGAAAAAUAAAAGUCCUUUCUCUCUGUAUCUGCAGCCCCGCAAUAAAGCCAUCAUUGGGAAGAUUGAACUUAAGUAUUUCAUUUGGGGAUGGAUUAAUUGUAAUUAGAGUAUACAUAAUGUUUCAACUGAGUGUUUUAUUUUUUCAUUGUUUCAACCAAGUGUUGAACUGCUUUUGCUAGUGGUGAAACCAGAGACCACGAGAGACAUGGUUCAGUCCUGUACCCUGUCAUGGGACAUGACCUCUCCUUUCACAUGGUGUGCAGUGGUCUUCAAACCUUUACGAGUGAUGGGAAGUGGCAUUUGGCUGAGGCCAUAGACCUAUGGAGUCCUGAUUUGCUGACUGGGACUGGAUGGCUUACAUCAUUGUUCCCAGAGAAAGGGGCAGAGUGCUGGGCUGCUCCAUGUUUGGGUCCAUGAGAUACUUCCUGUUGCCUGCAGGGAGCACUGGAGAAGGUGUUCAUUUUACCAGAUUAGCUCUUGUGAGCGCUUUUUAUGGAAGGGAGUGGUUGUAGGGGCCUUCCUGUUGCCAUUUCUGCUUUAGGAGGCACCUAAGAAGGACUUCGGUGCCAGUUGGGCAGGGUCUGUGGAAGGGAUGGAGUCAAGUAGCUGAUGAACAAGUUGUUUGGUCUGUGGCUGACUUCAGUUUAUAUUGAGCUCUACAAACAGCGAGUCAAGUUCUUGAAAAAAAAUAUUUUCAAAAAAAAUAAUUCUAGAAAUUAUUGCUAUCCAGUUGGCAGCUAGAAGUUGACAGCACUAGUGGUUCUGCUUUGCUUUCAAAGCCCUAAAGCACUUUUAAAGACGGAGAGAUCCUGUUGCUGCCUGCAGGAGUUCACAGUCAUUCUCUGAGCAGUUCUCCUUUCUUUGUCUCCCUAAAAUAGUUAGCUUUUUGUCCUUUCUGUUUUACUUCUCAAUAAUUUUCUUUGCAGCAGCCCAGGAAAGCAGGAGAUUCCAGCUCACAAGGCUCCAACUGCGAAACGCUGUGGCCAGGAGGGAGGGCAGGUGGAGUAACUCUGGCUGUGCUUCAGUGAAACUGACGAGUGGGACACCAGAAGACACCAGUGCAGAAAGCUGGAGUGGAUGCUCCAUCAGUGAAAAAAAAAAAAAAAUAGGUAAUAUACAACUAACAGACAGAUUGUAUUAUGGGGUCUGCUUACAUGACAUAGAGAUUGGGACUCAGAUCCAUCCUGUGAAAGUAAACAGUUUUAAAACCAUUUUUAAUGAAGUUGCAUUUUCCAAGACAUGAGACCCUAUGAAUUUCACUGGAGAGGUUUUUUGACAUCAUAGCUCUAUAGGUAAAGCAUAGUCCUGAAAGUCAGGAAGUAUGUGUUCCCCCAGCUCAAUGGCAAUUUUGCUGCAUGGACAAUUAACCUCAUUUCACGUACCAUGUUUAUGCAUUCAGUCUUCCUUUAACCCAUCAUGGUCUUUCAUUUGGCUUCAUAGUCCUCCAGACCAGCUAGUGAACAGCUAACCUGUGCCAGCCAGGGUGUGGACAUUGAAGCUCCUGCCCUGCAUAAUGGAUUCGUUUGGAUCUGAUUUGAUCAGUUUUAUGUAGCUGGGUAUACACAUGGCUCUUAAAAUGAAGGGAUCUGAGCUCUUUUCUGGGAUUUGUGACUUCCUUUGUUUGCUACGUCUUGUUUUUUUGGCAAAUCAGAGUGCAUGCUAAGUAUGUGCUAAUACAGAGACUGAAUGACAAUAUACUAUCAGAGAUUAUUUCACUCCUUUCUCAUGGCCUAUUUUAUGGGAUUUAGACACUAUAGACUAACUGAGACAAGAGGUAUUCAGAUUAUUUAAUUUUCACUAAGGAGAUCCAUUUGGGGUUUUUUGGUUUCAUUUUGCCUGGUGAGGUUUUUUCCUAUAAAUAAUUUUCUUUUUUGCAUUUAGGCAUGUUGGAAAAGGAAAAUUAUCUAUUCCAUAAUUUUAGCCUUAUCUGUGAUCUAGUUUGAGUUCUCUGAAAAUUGUCUCAGCUUUCGCAAAUGUCUGUUGUGGAGAAAACAUACCAUUACAGCUGUUCUGCAGUAUUUAAAGGGCCGAAGCACCUAAACUAUUGCUCCCCUGACUUCUGUUUCCCAUGAGUGAAAAAUAUCUUA
Columba livia (rock pigeon) is the source of this 23610-nucleotide long non-coding RNA. RefSeq lists it as uncharacterized. NCBI's taxonomy places the organism in Eukaryota, Metazoa, Chordata, Aves, Columbiformes, Columbidae. The transcript has 7 exons. The record is from RefSeq and is a predicted model, not a curated record.